Long non-coding RNA from Thalassophryne amazonica, 151 nucleotides. RefSeq lists it as uncharacterized. The transcript is spliced from 3 exons. The record is from RefSeq and is a predicted model, not a curated record. NCBI's taxonomy places the organism in Eukaryota, Metazoa, Chordata, Actinopteri, Batrachoidiformes, Batrachoididae.
CAUUUAUAUUUUUGCCCACCUCAUUAUUAUCACUUAGACGAUAAAUAUCAAAUUAUAGUGAGCAGAUUGUACCGCACCACAGCCGUCCAAAAUGUAACACUCUUAAUAAGCCUAGCUGAGAUACAAUUUUUAGUGUGAAUGAAGCUAUUUU